AUAAUCAUUUGUCUUUUAAUUGAGGUCUGGUAUGAAUGGUUUGAUGAAAAAUUUACUUUCUUUAUUUUAUAUAAAAAAUUUAAUUUUUGGAUUAAAAAGUCUAGAUUAGUUUAAAGGACGAGAAGACCCUAUAGAACUUAAAUUAUAUAUUUUUAAUUAGAUUUUUUGUAAUUAAAUAUUUAUUAAAUUUUUAUGAUUUUUAUUGGGGUGAUAAAAAAAAAUUUAUAACUUUUUUUAUUUUUAUCAUUUAUUUAUGAGUUUUUGAUCCUUUACUAUGGGUAAAAAGAUUAAGUUACCUUAGGGAUAACAGCGUUAUUAUUUUGGAGAGUUCUUAUUGAUAAGAUAGUUUGCGACCUCGAUGUUGGAUUAAAAUUAGUGUCAGGGGUAGAAUAUUGAUUACUAGGUCUGUUCGACCUAUAAAUUUUUACAUGAUCU
Molecule: ribosomal RNA, 435 nt
Filed under: Phylinae aff. Stoebea sp. 726
Lineage: Eukaryota; Metazoa; Arthropoda; Insecta; Hemiptera; Miridae
Description: partial 16S ribosomal RNA
Rfam family: Archaeal large subunit ribosomal RNA (bases 303-435)
Source: RNAcentral